Molecule: long non-coding RNA, 292 nt
Organism: Mauremys reevesii (Reeves's turtle)
Lineage: Eukaryota; Metazoa; Chordata; Testudines; Geoemydidae
Exons: 3
Source: RefSeq, a predicted model, not a curated record
GUCCAAGAGAAUCUUUAGCAGAGUUUUGAAUGCAGAGAGGAUAGUAGCAGGAAAGUGAAAUGAAACUGAGUGGUGUGUUUUCUAGAGACAAGGUAGCCUGGUCCACUUGUAGGAUAUGAUCUGAAGCACAUGGAAGCCAAUGGAAGAAUUCCAAUUGACUUCAGUGGGCCUUGGACCAAGCCUUGGAACAGCAAUGCCACGUAAGAGGGAAUCAGUGCUACCGUGGAGAAGAAUGGCAAGCAAUAAGCCCUAUGUGAUGCAGCUUUGUUUUAAUCCAGGUCUCACAGCCCAC